RNAcentral lists this ribosomal RNA (466 nucleotides) under uncultured bacterium. RNAcentral's name for it is "partial 16S ribosomal RNA". It matches the Rfam family "Bacterial small subunit ribosomal RNA", at positions 338 to 795 of the family's 1533-position model. The record is from RNAcentral.
CCUACGGGGGGCUGCAGUGGGGAAUCUUCCACAAUGGACGAAAGCCUGACGCAGCAACGCCGCGUGAGUGAAGAAGGCUUUCGGAUCGUAAAACUCUGUUGUAAGGGAAGAACAAGUGCCGUACAAAUGGGGCGGUACCUUGACGGUACCGAGCCAGCAAGCCCCGGCUAACUACGGGCCAGCAGCCGCGGUGAUUCGUAGGGGGGAAGCGGUGACCGGGAAUGCUGGGCGUGAAGGGGGCGCAGGGGGUCUUUUAAGGCUGAAUGGGAAGGGCACGGGUUAACCGUGGAGGGGCAUUGGAAACUGGAGGGCUUGAGUAAAGAAGAGGAGAGUGGAAUUCCAGGUGUAGCGGUGAAAUGCGUAGAGAUCUGGAGGAACACCAGUGGCGAAGGCGACUCUCUGGUCUGAAACUGACGCUGAGGUGCGAAAGCGUGGGUAGCGAACAGGAUUAGAUACCCUUGUAGUC